Molecule: long non-coding RNA, 1425 nt
Filed under: Homo sapiens (human)
Lineage: Eukaryota; Metazoa; Chordata; Mammalia; Primates; Hominidae
Description: long intergenic non-protein coding RNA 1446
Source: RNAcentral
GGAACCCGGCCGACAGAAGAUGGCGGAUGAGCAGCGUGCAGGGUUUUCUCCCUGUGGCUCACUCUCUCUUACUGUGCUGGGCGGUUGCUUCCUCUCCUGCUGCCCUUGGGAGUCAGACUCCAGGUUCUUCAGCCUGUGGCCCCUGGGGCUCUCGGGCCUUGGAGGACUGACUAGGAGCACACGGUGGGCCUCUCUGGUUUGGGGGCCUGGGACGUGGCGGAGCCCUGCAGCUUCUGUGCGGCCUGUUCUGGGCGUCGCGUUGAAACGCCAGCCAGUUCCCCAAUCCCCCUGGGAUUACAGGAGUGUUGAAGAAAUGUUGUGACACAUCAGAACACCGCGAAAUACAUGGACACUUUCAAAUCAUGGAAGACUCAAGAGUCCUUGUUUUUGCCCAGUAUUAUAAACUGAGUUACAUAAAGGCAGAGCAAAUGCUAAAGCAAACUGUCCAGAAGGAAGGACAGCAGUAAGUGGAGAGACGUUAUUGCAAACAAGCACCUGGCAACAGCUGUGUUAGUUGGGUCAGGAGGGCAUCUUUCUCGGCUCUUCACUGUGAGAACCUUGUGGGAUUCCUGAAGAUGAAACCAUGAACGCGAGGGAGUCUUGCUAAAACUGCAGCAUUCGAGAGGUUUUCACUCAUGCUGGCUCACACUUGUCCUCUAGCAAUUCAUCAAAAUUACCACGUAAGUGUUUCAACAGUUUAUGGCUCAGGUGGCCUCAGCUGUGAUGCUCCAAAUUUGCCUGUUUCUCCAGAUGCAGGGUAGCAGUUUGCUGUUUCUCCUGAGUUCUUUGAUGGAUUCAAGAAAAGUCAUGAUUUUCAGUUUGUUCUGAUUUUUUCUUGUGAGGGCAAAGUAAUGACUAAGCUUUAAUGUGUUUCAGCUAAAACUACAUGUAUUUUAAUAGCAAAAUGAGAUAUAAUUCACAUGUCAUAAAAGUCACCAUUUUUGGGUGCACAACUCAUUGGAUUUUAGUAUAUUCCAGGGUUAUGCAAGAAUAAAUAUUCUCUAAUUUUGGAACAUAUUUAUCUACUCAGAAAGAAACUUUGUGCUCAUUAACAGUUACUUAAUAUUCUCUCUCCCCUAACCUAUGGUAACUACUAGUCGACUUGCUAUAGAUUAGGUUACUUUGGAUAUUUCAUAUAUGUUGAAUCAUAAAAUAUGUGCCUUGGCUUCUUUCACUUACCGUAAUAUUUACAAAAUUCAUUCAUCUUACAAAGUACUUCAUUCUAUUUUUGAUUUUAUGGGUUAAUAAUAUUCUACUGUCUGGCUAUAUACAUGUAUGAAUAAUGUGGCAACAUUUUGUCCAUACACUCAUCAUGUGAUUAGUAUUUGCUUUGUUGUUGUUGUGUGUUUUUUAUUUUUCAGUUAUUAUGAAUAAUGAUUAUGAAUUCAGUUAUUAUGAAUAACUACAAUAAAUAGUUAUGCAUAA